ACAAUUACAUUAGUACAGUGAUUCUUCGUUUACAUUAAGGUUACUACAUUCAUGUCUCUUAGAACUUUAUUGUUUAGGUCAAUGGCGAGGCUUGUGACGUCUUUAGUUGGUGAGCCAGCCACUUCAAUCUCAACCUUGCUAUACUACAGCGGUCUUUUGCCUCACAAUAUCAUUCUGAUGAGAAUGGUUCGGCCAGAGUUGCUCGAUCAAGAAAACUAUAUCUUCAAUCUUCUCAUUACAUUAAUGUGUUGUUGGUGGUGAACGUAUAUGGGUCAAUUUUUUAAUCAUUUUCAAUCUCCAGUUUUUGGGUUUAUUAAAUUCAACAAAAGAGAGAGAGAAUUGUUUUUGGAAGGAAGAGCAUUGAGGAAAGAACAGAAUCAUGAAAGUGAUAUUUGAAUGUUUUGUAACCUUUGGGGGCGAUUAUUGUAAAUGACGACGCUUUAUAUUUUCUUAAUUUUCAUGAUUUACAGGGUGUUUGGUUA
This is a long non-coding RNA of Glycine soja, 482 nucleotides long. RefSeq lists it as uncharacterized. The record is from RefSeq and is a predicted model, not a curated record. Lineage: Eukaryota; Viridiplantae; Streptophyta; Magnoliopsida; Fabales; Fabaceae. The transcript is spliced from 2 exons.